UUUCCGUAGGUGAACCUGAGGAAGGAUCAUUAAAGUUAUAGUCCCCCGGCCCUCUGGGCUGGGGUCUUCUAUACCACCCUUUGUUUAUUACACCUUUGUUGCUUUGGCAGGCCUGCCCUCGGGCUGCUGGCUCCGGCCGGCUCGCGUCUGCCAGAGGACCUAAACUCUGUUUGUAUAUGAAGUCUGAGUACUAUAUAAUAGUUAAAACUUUCAACAACGGAUCUCUUGGUUCUG
RNAcentral lists this unclassified non-coding RNA (234 nucleotides) under plant metagenome. RNAcentral describes it as "partial contains small subunit ribosomal RNA, internal transcribed spacer 1, and 5.8S ribosomal RNA". The record is from RNAcentral.